GACGAACGCUGGCGGCGUGCUUAACACAUGCAAGUCGAACGGGCUUCUGGGGUUCUGGCUUUUUUGGUUGGGGUUCUGGGGGUUAGUGGCGAACGGGUGAGUAACACGUGAGUAACCUGCCCUUCACUUCUGGAUAACCGCUUGAAAGGGUGGCUAAUACGGGAUGUUUCUGGGUCUGUCGCAUGGCGGGUUCGGGAAAGAUGGCACUGUUUGGUGUUUUUGGUGGGGGAUGGGCUCGCGGCCUAUCAGCUUGUUGGUGGGGUGAUGGCCUGCCAAGGCUUUGACGGGUAGCCGGCCUGAGAGGGUGGGCGGUCACACUGGGACUGAGAUACGGCCCAGACUCCUACGGGAGGCAGCAGUGGGGAAUAGUGCACAAUGGGCGGAAGCCUGAUGCAGCGACGUCGCGUGAGGGAUGGAGGCCUUCGGGUUGUGAACCUCUUUCGCCAGUGAGGAAGUCCUUGCCCGUGUGGUGGGGUUGACGGUAGCUGGGUUAAUUGAAGCGCCGGCUAACUACGUG
RNAcentral lists this ribosomal RNA (517 nucleotides) under uncultured bacterium. RNAcentral describes it as "partial 16S ribosomal RNA". It matches the Rfam family "Bacterial small subunit ribosomal RNA", at positions 28 to 507 of the family's 1533-position model. The record is from RNAcentral.